Hypanus sabinus (Atlantic stingray) is the source of this 598-nucleotide long non-coding RNA. RefSeq lists it as uncharacterized. The record is from RefSeq and is a predicted model, not a curated record. The transcript is spliced from 4 exons. NCBI's taxonomy places the organism in Eukaryota, Metazoa, Chordata, Chondrichthyes, Myliobatiformes, Dasyatidae.
CGUCAUUAUAUAGGGGGAUCGAAUUGUUGCCAGCCAAUCAGCUGGCAGCUCUGCGGACGUUCACUUCCGGGGUCGGUGCUGGAGCGUGUGAGGCGUCUUGAGGCCCGCUGACCGAUGUGUAGUUUCCAGAUGACAUAAGAUGCAAUCUGCACUGUGUAGGAGAGUGGUCCGAUUCAGUUCCCAAUCUUUCCAAGUAACCACUUCUGUAAAUCCUCGCCAGGACUGCUUGUCCAAGAGUGACACAUAGAAGCUCCUUGUCUGAGGAACCCUCAAGUGAAAUUGGAAGGCAGAGGGGAAGAAGCUGUUCGUGAAUCAUUGAUUGAAUGCCUUCAGGCUCCUGUACCUCCUUCCUGAUGGUAACAAUGAGAACAAGGCAUCUGUGGAAACAUCAACGGUUCUUGCAAUGGCAUCUCAUGUCACUAGAGAACACACAGAACCAGAGUGGAAGCAAAUCAUCUUCGAUCCCAAGGUUGACAGCUGGCUGACGUUAUUUUUGGUUUGCUGCUGGCGGCAAAUUUAAGUUUAGCGUUUUUCAUAAACACAAGAAGGACUCAAAUAGACGUUGAGUAUUUUACUUAAAAGUAACCUUCAACCCAAC